This 757-nucleotide long non-coding RNA is filed under the name Selaginella moellendorffii. RNAcentral's name for it is "long non-coding RNA (SMOE_LNC000456)". Lineage: Eukaryota; Viridiplantae; Streptophyta; Lycopodiopsida; Selaginellales; Selaginellaceae. The record is from RNAcentral.
GAGAUUCCACCAGUACGGACGGCCUGGAUAAGACGAAAAUAGAAUAUACCCUAUUUUGACCCGUGCAGAUUCUUUUGGAAGAACCCUAGGAUUGAUUGGAGCGAGCGCGAUGGCGGGCGUAGCGGCGGUGGCGAGAGCGGCGACCAGGACGAUCGCGCAGUCCUCGCAGCUAGCUUGUAAGUGACUCGCAUUCUCUCGCGAUCGAUUAGGGCUUUCUUUUUCUCCUCUUUCUUGUUCUUCCAGCGACGAGGAGCUUCCAGACGGGCGCGCCGAGGCAGUGCUACUACGAUUACGAGCACCGGGAGCAUAUGUAUGAGAUCUGGAACAUGAAGAACCGGAACCUCAAAUUUGGGCUGCUGGUGUGGGGCGGGAUCGUCGGGCUGGGGAUCGCGAUUCCGAUCUAUGUCGUCAGGUUCCAAAUGAAGAAGGCGCAGGCUUAGACGACGAAGACGAACUCCCGCGUCGAGCAGCAAGAAAACUCCUCUAGGUAGGAGUCUCUUCGUCUUUUUUCUUCUUUCAUUGUUUCUCUUCUCUUUCUUUUUUCUGCUCAUUGCUCUUCCUCCUCCCAGCUAAAUGCAUUGGUCAGGGCAUGCAACGCCAGGCAUCUUCCCCGUAUAAAAAGACAUCGUUUUUUAGCUCUUUGUCUAAAGGAAUCUCUUCACGAAUAAAAAUGUUCCUUGAAAACUUUUAGGUUGAGCAAACACACACACAAAAGUGUGACGUGUCAGCCGAUAUGGCCUCCACGUCAAGAGAAUCA